GGAGGGGUCGCAUAGUGGCCGAGUGCACCUGUCUUGAAAACAGGAGAGCCCGCAAGGGUUCCGUGGGUUCGAAUCCCACCCUCCGCCA
This 88-nucleotide transfer RNA is filed under the name bacterium. RNAcentral's name for it is "tRNA-Ser". It matches the Rfam family "tRNA". From Rfam's summary of the family: Transfer RNA (tRNA) molecules are approximately 80 nucleotides in length. Their secondary structure includes four short double-helical elements and three loops (D, anti-codon, and T loops). Further hydrogen bonds mediate the characteristic L-shaped molecular structure. tRNAs have two regions of fundamental functional importance: the anti-codon, which is responsible for specific mRNA codon recognition, and the 3' end, to which the tRNAs corresponding amino acid is attached (by aminoacyl-tRNA synthetases). tRNAs cope with the degeneracy of the genetic code in two manners: having more than one tRNA (with a specific anti-codon) for a particular amino acid; and 'wobble' base-pairing, i.e. permitting non-standard base-pairing at the 3rd anti-codon position. The record is from RNAcentral.